UCAGUCCUGCCCAUAUCCAGGACAGCACCAGCAUGGAGCCCCCCUGGCCAGCCACAUCUCUACUGCUGUCAGCACCUGAGCACAAAUGUUCCAUGACUGUCAAACCCACCCUCACUCAAGUACUCAAAAAAGAUGAACUGAACCGAAGCCCUAGAAAGGUAUUUGUGUUGUCUACAUGAGAAGUCAGGGUAUCAACUUCCAACAGCAAUUUCGGCUUCGCCUGCCUUAUGACAUAUCUCCAGCUGAGGUGAUGACAGUCAGUAACCUCAGAAGACCUGCUCUUACAGA
Molecule: long non-coding RNA, 288 nt
Organism: Passer domesticus (house sparrow)
Lineage: Eukaryota; Metazoa; Chordata; Aves; Passeriformes; Passeridae
Exons: 3
Source: RefSeq, a predicted model, not a curated record